This 1485-nucleotide long non-coding RNA is filed under the name Homo sapiens (human). RNAcentral describes it as "HSALNT0351599". Lineage: Eukaryota; Metazoa; Chordata; Mammalia; Primates; Hominidae. The record is from RNAcentral.
CCGCCGCUCCAGACCCCGGAGGAGGGCAGCGCGACCCUCCCCAUCUUGUUACUGGUACUCAGCCACUGGGGACACUGACUGAAUGUUCGCCCCUAACUUACCCGGAAAACACGAGAACUAGUUCGAUGUCGUUUCAACCUUACCAAACUCUGCGGAAACUUAGGAAAUUAUCUUUAGUGUCUAGAUAGGGGAAUUGUUAGAUGGACUUGAAGUCUCUCACCUCCUGUUGUACGCCUCCCGGAAGCAACACCAGGAGUCCAACGGGAUCCCAAACCAGAGCCCAACCAGUAUCCUAUAAAGUCUUCAGAGAGGGAUCCCCUCCAGGCUGGGGAGAAACAGGACAACCUAACAAAACAGGGCCUGGACUCCUCCCUAAACAGACCACGUUUUUCUCCGCUCUUCCCCUUCCCACUCCCUGAAAUCUAGACUAAAACUCUUUUAAGAUAACUGCGAGGUAUAAAGAACGUCUAGAGCCUAAGCGGCCCGUUGCCAGAUUCUACUCCUCAGGCCUCAAAUGCGGGCAAGGCCCCCGAUCACGUGAUACCGCCCCCCAACUCCGGGCGGAAGAGGCCAGCGACAGCGCUGCACGAAGCGAGUGGGCGGGCGCUCGUGCCCGGCUAAAAGAUGGCUGCUGGCGCCUGGCAGCCACCGCCUGGGAGGUUACUGUAAGGCCCGCAGCUCCCGCCAGCUCCCGCGGACUGCUGCCGCCUCCUUACCAUGAAGCCAGUAAGUCGUCGCACGCUGGACUGGAUUUAUUCAGUGUUGCUGCUUGCCAUCGUUUUAAUCUCCUGGGGCUGCAUCAUCUAUGCUUCGAUGGUGUCUGCAAGACGACAGCUAAGGAAGAAAUACCCAGACAAAAUCUUUGGGACGAAUGAAAAUUUGUAACUCUUCUGGAUUUAAUUAUCUGAAAAUACAGUUCUUUCCCUCAUGCUUAUGUAGAUAUAAAAAUAAAAUUCAUAAUGCAAAGUUCCCAAGUUUAUUUUUGCAUUAUCCUUUAUAACAAGCACUAGUAUGCAAAUUUUUCACUUAGAGAUUUUAGUAUUUUACAUUCUCAUGACAAAAUUAACAGCAACCUAAAUCUGACAGUCUUGAGUGUCAGAUCAUAGUUGGAAUAAGCUUUUCAAUCAAGUUUCUAAAUUCUUCAAAAAUGAUUCGGAAAGCUUUUUUUUUUUUUGAGACGGAGUCUUGCUCUGUCGCCCAGGCUCAGUGGCACUAUCUCGGCUUACUGCAAGCUCCGCCUUCUGGGUUCACACCAAUCUCGUGCCUCAGCCUCCGCAGUAGCUGGGACUACAGGAGCCCGCCACCACGCCCGGCUAAUUUUUUUGUAUUUUUAGUAGGGACGGGGUUUCACUGUGUUAGCCAUGAUGGUCUCGAUCUCCUGACUUCGUGAUCUGCCCGCCUCGGCCUCCCAAAGUGCUGGGAUUACAGGCAUGAGCCACUGCGCCUGGCCGGAAAGAUUUCCUUAAAACAAAAGUGCAUGGAAUU